GUGAAGAACGUAGUGAAAUGCGAUAAGUAAUGUGAAUUGCAGAAUUCAGUGAAUCAUCGAAUCUUUGAACGCACAUUGCGCCCGCCAGUAUUCUGGCGGGCAUGCCUGUCUGAGCGUCAUUUCAACCCUCAUGCCCCUAGGGCGUGGUGUUGGGGAUCGGCCAAAGCCCGCGAGGGACGGCCGGCCCCUAAAUCUAGUGGCGGACCCGUCGUGGCCUCCUCUGCGAAGUAGUGAUAUUCCGCAUCGGAGAGCGAUGAGCCCCUGCCGUUAAACCCCCAACUUUCCAAGGUUGACCUCAGAUCAGGUAGGAAUACCCGCUGAACUUAAGCAUAUCAAUAAGCGGAGGA
Molecule: unclassified non-coding RNA, 347 nt
Filed under: soil metagenome
Description: partial contains 5.8S ribosomal RNA, internal transcribed spacer 2, and large subunit ribosomal RNA
Rfam family: 5.8S ribosomal RNA (bases 2-119)
Source: RNAcentral